GAUGAACGCUGGCGGCGUGCCUAAUACAUGCAAGUCGAGCGAACAGACGAGGAGCUUGCUCCUCUGACGUUAGCGGCUGACGGGUGAGUAACACGUGGAUAACCUACCUAUAAGACUGGGAUAACUUCGGGAAACCGGAGCUAAUACCGGAUAAUAUAUUGAACCGCAUGGUUCCAUAGUGAAAGACGGUUUUGCUGUCACUUAUAGAUGGAUCCGCGCCGCAUUAGCUAGUUGGUAAGGUAACGGCUUACCAAGGCAACGAUGCGUAGCCGACCUGAGAGGGUGAUCGGCCACACUGGAACUGAGACACGGUCCAGACUCCUACGGGAGGCAGCAGUAGGGAAUCUUCCGCAAUGGGCGAAAGCCUGACGGAGCAACGCCGCGUGAGUGAUGAAGGUCUUCGGAUCGUAAAACUCUGUUAUUAGGGAAGAACAAAUGUGUAAGUAACUAUGCACGUCUUGACGGUACCUAAUCAGAAAGCCACGGCUAACUACGUG
RNAcentral lists this ribosomal RNA (497 nucleotides) under uncultured bacterium. Its description in RNAcentral is "partial 16S ribosomal RNA". It matches the Rfam family "Bacterial small subunit ribosomal RNA", at positions 28 to 507 of the family's 1533-position model. The record is from RNAcentral.